UAGUCCACGCCCUAAACGAUGUUUACUCGAUCUUUGCGAUAUACUGUAAGGGUCCAAGCGAAAGCGUUAAGUAAACCACCUGGGGAGUACGUUCGCAAGAAUGAAACUCAAAGGAAUUGACGGGGGUCCGCACAAGCGGUGGAGUAUGUGGUUUAAUUCGAUGAUACGCGAAGAACCUUACCUAGGCUCUAAUGCUAUACGACAGUUUCAGAAAUGAAUCCUUCCUUCGGGACGUAUAGUAAGGUGCUGCAUGGUUGUCGUCAGCUCGUGCCGUGAGGUGUUGGGUUAAGUCCCGCAACGAGCGCAACCCCUAUUGUUAGUUACCAGCACGUUAAGGUGGGGACUCUAGCAAGACUGCCGGCGUAAGCCGCGAGGAAGGUGGGGACGACGUCAAAUCAUCAUGGCCUUUAUGCCCAGGGCUACACACGUGCUACAAUGGUGCAUACAGAGGGUAGCGAAGCCGCGAGGUGGAGCCAAUCCCAGAAAGUGCAUCCUAGUUCGGAUCGGAGUCUGGAACUCGA
This 521-nucleotide ribosomal RNA is filed under the name uncultured bacterium. RNAcentral describes it as "bacterial SSU rRNA". It matches the Rfam family "Bacterial small subunit ribosomal RNA", at positions 791 to 1315 of the family's 1533-position model. The record is from RNAcentral.